RNAcentral lists this ribosomal RNA (406 nucleotides) under uncultured bacterium. RNAcentral describes it as "partial 16S ribosomal RNA". It matches the Rfam family "Bacterial small subunit ribosomal RNA", at positions 30 to 526 of the family's 1533-position model. The record is from RNAcentral.
AUUGAACGCUGGCGGCAGGCCUAACACAUGCAAGUCGAACGAGUGGCGGACGGGUGAGUAAUGUCUGGGAACCUGCCUGAUGGAGGGGGAUAACUACUGGAAACGGUCGCUAAUACCGCAUAACAUAAGCUGUGCCAAGAGGGGAUUGGCUUGUUGGUGGGGUAACGGCUCACCAAGGGGACGAUCCCUAGCUAGUCUGAGAGGAUGACCAUCCACACUGGAACUGAGACACGGUCCAGACUCCUACGUGAGGCAGCAGUGGGGACUAUUGCACAAUGGGCGCAAGCCUGAUGCAGCCAUGCCGCGUGUAUGAAGAAGGCCUUCGGGUUGUAAAGUACUUUCAGCGGGGAGGCGUUACCCGCAGAAGAAGCACCGGCUAACUCCGUGCCAGCCGCCGCGGUAAUUC